ACAGCAUUGAACAAGGAUCUCAAGUCAGAAAUGUUGACUUGUGGUCCUGUUUUGUUGAACCAAUAGACUCAGGCUUAUCUCAAUAUAAGUUUAAUGGUUGAACAAAACUGGUGCUAACAUUAUCUGGAGCCCACAGGACCGCCGGCCCUUUAAUUGUGCCGAGACGGUAGUAUUAGGCUCUCCACAUUACCAUU
Molecule: small nucleolar RNA, 194 nt
Filed under: Bombyx mori (domestic silkworm)
Lineage: Eukaryota; Metazoa; Arthropoda; Insecta; Lepidoptera; Bombycidae
Description: Bm_122
Source: RNAcentral